This 259-nucleotide ribosomal RNA is filed under the name uncultured Glomus. RNAcentral's name for it is "partial 18S ribosomal RNA". It matches the Rfam family "Eukaryotic small subunit ribosomal RNA", at positions 624 to 886 of the family's 1831-position model. Lineage: Eukaryota; Fungi; Glomeromycota; Glomeromycetes; Glomerales; Glomeraceae. The record is from RNAcentral.
AAGCUCGUAGUUGAAUUUCGGGAUCAAUGUUUCGGUCAUGCCGUUGGUAUGUACCGAUAUUAUUGAUUUCUCACCUUCUAAAGAACCGUAAUGCCAUUAAUUUGGUGUCACGGGGAAUUAGGACUGUUACCUUGAAAAAAUUAGAGUGUUUAAAGCAGGCUCACGCUUGAAUACAUUAGCAUGGAAUAAUGAAAUAGGACAUCCGAUUCUAUUUUGUUGGUUUCUAGGAUCGAUGUAAUGAUUAAUAGGGAUAGUUGGG